CACUAUGCUUAGCCCUAAACCAAAAUAGCUCACCAUAACAAAGCUAUUCGCCAGAGUACUACUAGCAACAGCCUAAAACUCAAAGGACUUGGCGGUGCUUUACAUCCCUCUAGAGGAGCCUGUUCCGUAAUCGAUAAACCCCGAUAAACCCCACCAUCCCUUGCUAAUUCAGCCUAUAUACCGCCAUCUUCAGCAAACCCUAAACAAGGUACCAAAGUAAGCACAAUCAUCCAACAUAAAAACGUUAGGUCAAGGUGUAGCCCAUGGGAUGGAGAGAAAUGGGCUACAUUUUCUACUCUAAGAACAAGAACUCAACCCAAACGGAAGUCUCCAUGAAAUUAGAGACCGAAGGAGGAUUUAGUAGUAAAUUAAGAAUAGAGAGCUUAAUUGAAUCAGGCCAUGAAGCGCGC
RNAcentral lists this ribosomal RNA (410 nucleotides) under Equus asinus (donkey). RNAcentral's name for it is "partial small subunit ribosomal RNA". It matches the Rfam family "Bacterial small subunit ribosomal RNA", at positions 788 to 1384 of the family's 1533-position model. The record is from RNAcentral. Lineage: Eukaryota; Metazoa; Chordata; Mammalia; Perissodactyla; Equidae.